This 30-nucleotide non-coding RNA is filed under the name Mus musculus (house mouse). The record is from RNAcentral. Lineage: Eukaryota; Metazoa; Chordata; Mammalia; Rodentia; Muridae.
UGGCAAAAAUGACUCUGGAGUACUUCUCAA